Molecule: unclassified non-coding RNA, 375 nt
Filed under: Hevea brasiliensis (rubber tree)
Lineage: Eukaryota; Viridiplantae; Streptophyta; Magnoliopsida; Malpighiales; Euphorbiaceae
Source: RNAcentral
GGCAUGUAUGUCCACCAAUGGUCAUUAGCUUUGGCUUGUUGGGUCCGAUCUUUUAUUGAUGAUUGAAUGUCGCUUUACGUCAACUCACACAAUUAGUGCUUGCAUGGAUCAACAGCUACACCUGCAGAGGUCUCAUUUUCACAUAGCAUACUCCUAGCUUCUGAUAUUUCUUUGAAGAGAUGGUGACCAUUCUCCUACCUUGAAAAUAUAUCCUUCUCUCUUUUAUCACAAUGCUAGCUUGUAAAUGGUCAUCACAGUCGUAGAAUUAGCGGUCACCAAGAACAUAUGAAAGCUUGGAUCAGGAUGGAUUACAAAUCCUCCUUGUGCUUCCGUUUCUCUGUUAGCAGAUGAUAGGCUUGUUUCUUUUCAUCGUUG